GACGAACGCUGGCGGCGUGCUUAACACAUGCAAGUCGAACGGAAAGGCCCUGCUUUUGUGGGGUGCUCGAGUGGCGAACGGGUGAGUAACACGUGAGUAACCUGCCCUUGACUUUGGGAUAACUUCAGGAAACUGGGGCUAAUACCGGAUAGGAGCUCCUGCUGCAUGGUGGGGGUUGGAAAGUUUCGGCGGUUGGGGAUGGACUCGCGGCUUAUCAGCUUGUUGGUGGGGUAGUGGCUUACCAAGGCUUUGACGGGUAGCCGGCCUGGGAGGGUGACCGGCCACAUUGGGACUGUGAUACGGCCCAGACUCCUACGGGAGGCAGCAGUGGGGAAUAUUGCACAAUGGGCGGAAGCCUGAUGCAGCAACGCCGCGUGCGGGAUGACGGCCUUCGGGUUGUAAACCGCUUUCGCCUGUGACGAAGCGUGAGUGACGGUAAUGGGUAAAGAAGCACCGGCUAACUACGUG
Molecule: ribosomal RNA, 468 nt
Filed under: uncultured bacterium
Lineage: Bacteria
Description: partial 16S ribosomal RNA
Rfam family: Bacterial small subunit ribosomal RNA
Source: RNAcentral